RNAcentral lists this ribosomal RNA (397 nucleotides) under uncultured bacterium. Its description in RNAcentral is "partial 16S ribosomal RNA". It matches the Rfam family "Bacterial small subunit ribosomal RNA", at positions 523 to 918 of the family's 1533-position model. The record is from RNAcentral.
AUACGUAGGUGACAAGCGUUAUCCGGAUUUACAGGGUGUAAAGGGCGUGUAGGCGGUUUAGCAAGUCAGAAGUGAAAUUCCCGGGCUUAACUUGGGCGCUGCUUCUGAAACUGCUUUACUUGAGUGCUGGAGAGGAUAGUGGAAUUCCUAGUGUAGCGGUAAAAUGCGCAGAUAUUAGGAGGAACACCGGUGGCGAAGGCGGCUAUCUGGACAGUAACUGACGCUGAGGCGCGAAAGCACGGGGAGCAAACAGGAUUAGAUACCCUGGUAGUCCGUGCCGUAAACGAUGAAUACUAGGUGUAGGGGGUAUCGACUCCCUCUGUGCCGCAGUUAACACAUUAAGUAUUCCACCUGGGGAGUACGGCCGCAAGGUUGAAACUCAAAUGAAUUGACGGGG